GUAGGCAACAAAUUUCUUCAUUCAUUCAUUCUCAAACAGUCACUACUACUUUAUCCGAUCAACCAAAAAGCUUCAAAUUCCGGCACAAAAAAGCCCUAAAAUCUUUCCAACUUUUCUCAACGAAACCAUGAAAGUAUCACUAAAACUCGAAGAUCAACAACAACAAGAUCAAAACCAAACCCCAAUUCUCUUCAAAGCCAAAAUCCCCAUCACCGUCUUCGGCCUCCCUUUCCUCUCCGCCGUCUCCGCCACCCACAACCACCCCUCCGCCGCCGCAUCCGACAAACUCUCCCUCUCCCUCCGCACCCACUUCCCCUCCGGCCCCUCUCUCAAACUCUCCUACAACACCCCCACCACCACCACCACCGCCACCACCACCGCCGCCGUAGCACCCCUCACUCUCACUCUCAAGUCCGGCGUCAGUCUUUCCGGCUCCCCCAACAAUUCCCCUCUCAUAAUUUCUGCUAAUUUCAACUUUUCCCCUCAAAACCCUAACCCUAACCCUAAUUUUACAAUCAAAUUCACACCCAAAUUGGGAUCAUUCUCUGUUCGUAAAUCGAUACACUCUUCUGUAUCUAACUCUAGUAAGAAUCUUAAUGGUUGGGGUAGUGAUGGUGGUGAGAAUUCGUUUGCAUUUGUGCCGUUGGAUCGACCGAUUAAUUGGAAAGAAUUGAGUGUUGAAUCGGUCGAAAAAGGUUCGAUCUUGAAAGGGAUUAUGGUGGCGGCAGAUACCGAAUUGCCGGUUAUGAACCGGGUCAAGGUGAAUUUACGGUGGGGCGUGGGCGUUUCAUCGGUUUCGUCGGGUUUCGAUAAGCCAAUGCCGUAUUUGAGAGUGAAUAAGAUUAAGGUUGAGAGGAUUGAUGAUGUGGUUGAGGAGAAAGUUGAGAAAAAACAGGGGAUGGAUGGCGAGUUUGAGAUGUUGAAGGGGAUGUAUAGUUGGAUGAGUAGGGAAUUGAGUGAUCUGCAGACGGAAAACAGAGAGAUGAGACGCGCGUUGGAGGAUGUUAAGUCGGGGCAGCCGUUAAGGCAACAUAACACGUACAAUGGCGGCGGUGGGAAGAGGGCUGUGACACCGACGGUUGAAGUUUCGGACGGGUUUGAGCAGUGGAAGAUGAAGAAGAAUGGUGGUGGCAUUGAGGCGAAUACGCAAAGGGAAACGAAGAAGAACGGUGGCUCGGUUGAUGUGGAGAGUGAAUUGCAGAGAGCAAUUAUGGCUGCAUCUUCAUAAUGAGAUAUGUGAAAAGCAGAAGCGACAAACAGUUACGAGAUCCUGAUGAGGCGGAUGAAACCGAGGAUUGCAAGCCCAUAAAUGGGAACGACGACGGGCCUAUAGUUCCUUGUGGAUUGGUCGCCUGGAGUUUGUUCAACGAUACAUACAAAUUCUUCAAAGGAAACAAAGCUAUAGAUAUCGAUAAGAAAGAUAUCGCGUGGGAAAGCGAUAAGAAGUAUAAAUUCGGGUCAAACGUGUACCCGAAAAACUUUCAAAAGUGGGAGUUGAUAGGGGGUGGUGCACUAGACGAAUCAAAACCGUUGAGCGAGCAAGAGGAUCUUAUCGUGUGGAUGAAAACUGCGGCAUUGCCUACAUUCAGGAAGCUUUACGGAAAGAUAAACACGGAUUUGGAAGCAAAUGAGACGAUCACGGUGGUGAUACAGAACAACUACAAUACAUACGUAUUCGGGGGAGAAAAGAAGGUUGCUCUUUCGACAGCGAAUUGGAUUGGUGGGAAAAACGAUUUCUUUGGAAUAUCGUUUCUUACUAUAGGUGGUGUCUGUUUUUUCGUGGCGAUUAAUUUUAUACUUCUUUAUGUUUUAAAACCGAGGCCUCUCGGAGAUCCAUCGUACUUGUCAUGGAAUAGAAAUCAAGGCGCCCAAUAAAACGUCGACGUUAGUUUUAGUGUUUUCGAUACCAUGUUAUACACAUGGUUCUUGUGUUGACUGAACUCUUGAUCUAAAAUAGUGAAUUUAUUUCUUU
Molecule: RNA transcript, 1972 nt
Organism: Helianthus annuus (common sunflower)
Lineage: Eukaryota; Viridiplantae; Streptophyta; Magnoliopsida; Asterales; Asteraceae
Gene name: putative ALA-interacting subunit 4
Exons: 3
Source: RefSeq, a predicted model, not a curated record